This 468-nucleotide ribosomal RNA is filed under the name uncultured bacterium. RNAcentral's name for it is "partial 16S ribosomal RNA". It matches the Rfam family "Bacterial small subunit ribosomal RNA", at positions 28 to 507 of the family's 1533-position model. The record is from RNAcentral.
GACGAACGCUGGCGGCGUGCUUAACACAUGCGAGUCGAACGGAAAGGCCCUGCUUUUGUGGGGUGCUCGAGUGGCGAACGGGUGAGUAACACGUGAGUAACCUGCCCUUGACUUUGGGAUAACUUCAGGAAACUGGGGCUAAUACCGGAUAGGAGCUCCUGCUGCAUGGUGGGGGUUGGAAAGUUUCGGCGGUUGGGGAUGGACUCGCGGCUUAUCAGCUUGUUGGUGGGGUAGUGGCUUACCAAGGCUUUGACGGGUAGCCGGCCUGCGAGGGUGACCGGCCACAUUGGGACUGAGAGACGGCCCAGACUCCUACGGGAGGCAGCAGUGGGGAAUAUUGCACUAUGGGCGGAAGCCUGAUGCAGCAACGCCGCGUGCGGGAUGACGGCCUUCGGGUUGUAAACCGCUUUCGCCUGUGACGAAGCGUGAGUGACGGUAAUGGGUAAAGAAGCACCGGCUAACUACGUG